CCUUAAUGGAGAGUUUGAUCCUGGCUCAGGACGAACGCUGGCGGCGUGCUUAACACAUGCAAGUCGAGCGGAAAGGCCCCUUCGGGGGUACUCGAGCGGCGAACGGGUGA
Molecule: ribosomal RNA, 110 nt
Filed under: Actinomadura madurae
Lineage: Bacteria; Bacillati; Actinomycetota; Actinomycetes; Streptosporangiales; Thermomonosporaceae
Description: 16S rRNA. Bacterial SSU
Rfam family: Bacterial small subunit ribosomal RNA
Source: RNAcentral